Molecule: ribosomal RNA, 319 nt
Filed under: uncultured eukaryote
Lineage: Eukaryota
Description: partial 18S ribosomal RNA
Rfam family: Eukaryotic small subunit ribosomal RNA
Source: RNAcentral
CCCUUAGAUGUUCUGGGCCGCACGCGCGCUACACUGAUACAAUCAACAAGUGCCUUUUGCCGACGGGUGAAGAGGACUCUUGUGAGUUUGUAUCGUGAUGGGAACAAACGAUUGCAAUUAUUCGUUUCGAACGAGGAAUUCCUAGUAAGCGCGAGUCAUCAGCUUGUGCUGAUUACGUCCCUGCCCUUUGUACACACCGCCCGUCGCUCCUACCGAUUGGAUGAUCCGGUGAGCUGGCCGGACAGGCGGACUGCAUCUGAUGCUCUUCGCUUGGAAGGCUCGCAAACCUUAUCAUUUAGAGGAAGGAGAAGUCGUAACA